This 448-nucleotide long non-coding RNA is filed under the name Canis lupus familiaris (dog). RNAcentral's name for it is "lncRNA (ENSCAFG00000052014.1, ENSCAFG00805019344.1, ENSCAFG00845007630.1)". Lineage: Eukaryota; Metazoa; Chordata; Mammalia; Carnivora; Canidae. The record is from RNAcentral.
UUAGAAGGGACACAGAGAGCAAGAAACAAGAUAAAGCAUUCCCCCCUUUGCCUUUAAAAUGAUGUGGUUAAGAAAACAAGAAGAGCUUAUUCUUGCAUAUAGGAAGAGGCAACAGGAAGUGUGAAUGAGGAGCACGAAUGUGGAAAGUAAAGCACUUUACAAAGGAAGGCAGCUGUGAAUUUUCCAUUUGCAGUGUUUGUUUAUUUUGGCUCCUGUCAUCACUGCCAUGAUUGCCCCGGGAAGAAUUCCCCAGUGGAAACAUCAACAAGAGAAACAGCAGAACUUACUUCCUUUCCUUUUACUGAGGAAAGAAAAUCCCCCCUUGGGAGAUAAACUUCCUUAAAAACAAAGAACAAGUGAAUUCACAUAGGGGACAUGCAAUGUACAUGAGACUGCAUGAAGAAAUAUAUUUAAUAUAAAUAAAUCUCAAACAUCUACAGAGACUGCA